UUGAUCUAUGUUCCUUCCCUCACCAUUGGUCAUGAGCUUUGGGUAGUGACCAAACGAAUGAGAUCGCAGAUACAAGCGGGCCAAAAUUUGUUUUUUCUACAGGGUGUCUGGGCUCUCCCUUAGAGAUAGGAUGAGAAGCUCUGUGGUCCAGGGGACGCUGCCCCUCCGCAUCAAGGGAAGCCAGUUGAGGUGACCCGAGCAUCCGGUUAGGUUGCCUCCAGGACGCCUCCCUAAUAAGGUUUUCCAGAAAUGUCCUACCGAGAUGAGACCCCAGGUCUGACCCAGGACACGCUGGAGUGACUUAUGUUUCUCGGCUGGCCAGGGUACGCCUUUGGAUUUCUCAGAGUAGCUAGUCCAAGUCUUGGCCUAACUCCUGAGGCUGCUGCCCCCAUGAUCCAACUCUGUAUAAGUGAAUGAAAAUGGGUGGAUGAAUAGUUUUUCAUUAAAAAAUACAGUGUAGUAUAUUUGUUUUACUAGUGAUUACUGCAUUAUUAACAUUAUCCAUUAAAUAGUUCAGUUUUCAAACAGAUUUUUAAAUUAGUAUUCCAUAUUUCUGUCUUCAAAGGGUUAAUAUCACUUAUGUAUACCCGUCUUUGUAAAAACUUCCUUUGACAUUAUUUAUUUUUGUGUGUUUGUGUUGACAGACUAUGUUGCUAGAAUGAAUGCACGAGUCAGGUCUCAGACCCAACUCUCAGAAUCAGAGAUGGAAGUGAUUUUGGCAGAGUAUCUUAAACAGCAUGGUUUGCCACAUCUGUCAUCUUUGAAAGUUCGUUUUAUCAAACCUUGAGAUGAGUGAAGGAACACAAAGGAUGAAAAAGAGGAGAAUAAGCCACCAUUCAACAUGAGCAGUCUUUCAAGACAGGAAGUAGUCCUCUAUCUGGGACAGUACCAGUUUAACUUGUCCCUAGGAAUGUCCGAUAUUAACGGUCGAUAUUCAUAUUAAAAUGUAAUAAAAGAAGUUACGUGCAUGUCUUUAUUAUUGACAUAACUUACAUGCUAUAAUGGAAACAUUUGCCCUUAUUUGUGCUUCCAUUUUUCUGCUCUGUAAGCAAAUGUGGUUAAAUGAUUCACACACAUGCUUGCGUAGGGUUACGGUAACAAUGUAUUUUGGGCACUGGGUACAGAAGUGUACAUAUCACUGGACUUUUCUGACAGUAAGAUGUCGUGCACAUAUUAUGCAUCAAACUCUGCAGCUAAUUCUCUCAGCCUAAAUGUCUAAAUAUGAAAGAUCUGAAGUUUAGAUUUGAGAAAUUUUAGUUUGGACACAACUGGACUAACUUACAUUUGAACAAUAGUCAUAUUUUACAAACAUCAUGUUUAAAGUUUAAUUAUGCAUGCAAGAAAUAUGUGAUAUUAGUUACCUGUAAUAAUAAAUGUCUAUUUUUGUACAAUGGGGGACUCUGCAUACGUUAACAUUUAAUAUAGGUAUCAGACAUUAAAAGUCAGACAAUAUUGUUAUGUCAGAUAUAAUAAUGAGGUUUACUAUGUUGUUGAAACAUCCCCAUAUUUUUUAGAUUUGUUUUGUUUCUUUUUAUUUUAUAUUUCACAGUUAAAUUCAGUUAAUUCUUUAAUGAGAUGUGGGGAGUUAAAUGUGCCCUACCAAGCAGCUGAGCUAGCAGUUAAAGGGUUGUCAGAAGCAGAGGAUUUGUUUUCACACAGUUGUACCAGUUUGAAUAAGAUAUAACAUGUAAUUAUCUGUCCUAUGUGUGGUAUAUCUAGUCAGACGCCUCCUCCAAGAGUAGCAUGAGGAGACUUUCCUGUUUUGUUUGUUGGGUCAGUCUUCCAGAACUGGACACUUAGAGCUGGUGUGGCUAAAGAGAUGAUUGAUCAAUACUCAGAGCUGUCAUUACUGGUAUCUUUAUUCAAUAUUUUAGUAAUCUAUGCCACUUUUACAGCUUGUUUUGGUUGUGGGGUCUUUUUAAUAUUUAGUUACAUUGAAAAUUGGUAUUGGGGUUUUUGAUUAAAUGAUUUGUAAAACCUGUCCAAGUACAACUGAUGAGGAGCAGCCUUUUGGUCUAUAUCUUGUAUUUUUUACAUGUAUCUGAUUUUUCUUUGUUGUCCUUGAUAAAUAAACCAACAAUCUUGAA
This is a long non-coding RNA of Nothobranchius furzeri (turquoise killifish), 2087 nucleotides long. RefSeq lists it as uncharacterized. The record is from RefSeq and is a predicted model, not a curated record. Lineage: Eukaryota; Metazoa; Chordata; Actinopteri; Cyprinodontiformes; Nothobranchiidae.